UACUUCAUUCUUCCCCAGCCCGAUUCUCUCCCUGUGUUCAUUCUCUCGAGGUUUGUGCUGGCCGUGCCGUCGCCACUGAGGGAAUCCGGUGAGUCUUUCAAUCAUCUCUCUCUCUCUCUCUCUUCCAAUCACACCCUUUCUCAACUAAACUAACCCACGGCGUGAAGGUCCAAGGCUCGAAGGACAUGGUGAUGGGUCUCGAUGAUAUUCGAAGGCCAUAUCUACAAUGCCAUGGCAAAUCACCAUGCCGGUGGGUCUCAAAACUCCAAGGCCAGAGACCAAAGGUUCUCAAAAGCCAUGGUCGUGGAUCUUAAGGCUUUAACCCAGUGUUAGAUGAUUUAAUGAAGCUUUAGACAUCAUGGCCCUGAAAGAAGACCCGCGACCAGCCGUUCCUCUCAUUUCAGCUCCAAUCUCGUCUAUCGUUUACAACGUGGGUUUCCAGUUGCGGACCCAGCCGUGGCUCUUGAGCUUUUAUUGUUUUACAAUUUUUUUUGUAAAUAAAUGUAAUUCUUUUGGUUUUCCUUUCUAUAGGACUAAUGGAAUUGACGGAAAGGGGGGGUAUUAAUGGGUCAAAAUCUCUCCGUGGUUUCUCUUAAAGAAUUAAAAAAAAUUUGUUUCUUGAGAUGAGAUAUGACUGAGAGACAGAUGUGGAGUGUUAGGUUGAAACCCAUAAGCUAAAAUGGUCAAGAACGAGCUUUCUAGCACCAUGGAGAACCUAAAGGUUUGCUUAUUUUUAGGCAUUCGUGCUUCCUUUUGCGCUGAAAAUGGGUUUGCUUAUCACCUCACCUCCUUAGUUAUAAGGGACUGCUGUUUCUAGGAAAAAGAAAGAAAUUGCCAGUAGCCCACCAAGUGUUCAAGUAAAUUCAACAGAUAUAUAUAUCUCUCAUGUCUGCAUUUUUUAUUGCAAGAGCAAUUUUUAGUUUCUGUCUACUACUGAUUCGGCUUAUUAUUUUAAAAGGUUUGGGCUAGUCUAUUGCUGCACUGAUGGUCCUUGAUAUCCUCCUGGAUUCUGUAGACAACCUAUUAAGCAAUUUUAUAAGUGGUUGUUAUUUAUAGAUGCAUUAGUUACGAUGUGUAGUUA
Juglans microcarpa x Juglans regia is the source of this 1081-nucleotide long non-coding RNA. RefSeq lists it as uncharacterized. The transcript has 3 exons. The record is from RefSeq and is a predicted model, not a curated record. Lineage: Eukaryota; Viridiplantae; Streptophyta; Magnoliopsida; Fagales; Juglandaceae.